AGGGUGCAGGGCGGAUGCCUUGGCACUAGGAGCCGAUGAAGGACGUGAUAAGCUGCGAUAAGCUUCGGGGAGUUGCACGUAAACUUUGAUCCGAAGAUUUCCGAAUGAGGAAACUCACUUAGAGUAAUGUCUAAGUAUCAUUAAGUGAAUACAUAGCUUAAUGAGGGGAACUCAGGGAACUGAAACAUCUAAGUACCUGAAGGAAGAGAAAGAAAUUCGAUUCCGUAAGUAGCGGCGAGCGAACGCGGAUUAGCCCAAACCAAUAAAGUUUUCUUUAUUGGGGUUGCGGACAUAUCAUAACGAAGAGGUAUCGUAAUUGAAGAGGUUUGGAAAGACCCACCACAGAAGGUAAUAGUCCUGUAUGUUAAACGAGAAGACUUUAGAUAUGAUCCAGAGUACCACGGGACACGUGAAACCCUGUGGGAAGCAGGAGGGACCACCCUCCAAGGCUAAAUACUACCUAGUGACCGAUAGCGUAUAGUACCGUGAGGGAAAGGUGAAAAGAACCCCGGGAGGGGAGUGAAAUAGAACCUGAAACCCUGCACUUACAAGCUGUGGAAGCACAUUUCUUGUGUGACCGCGUACUUUUUGUAGAACGGGCCAACGAGUUACGUUAAGUAGCAAGGUUAAGCACUUAAGGUGUGGAGCCGUAGCGAAAGCGAGUUUUAACUGAGCGUUCAGUUACUUGACGUAGACCCGAAACCGGGCGACCUACCCAUGAGCAGGAUGAAGCGAAAGUAAAAUUUCGUGGAGGUCCGAACCCACGAGCGUUGAAAAGCUCGGGGAUGACUUGUGGGUAGCGGUGAAAUUCCAAUCGAGCCCGGAGAUAGCUGGUUCUCCCCGAAAUAGCUUUAGGGCUAGCCUCAAGGUGAGAGAUACGGAGGUAGAGCACUGAAUGUCCUAGGGGGUAUUGCACCUACCGAAGACUAUCAAACUCCGAAUGCCGUCAUCUUAUACUUGGGAGUCAGACUGUGGGUGAUAAGAUUCAUAGUCGAAAGGGCAACAGCCCAGAUCGUCAGCUAAGGUCCCUAAAUGUAAGUUAAGUGGUAAAGGAUGUGGGAUUGCACAGACAACCAGGAUGUUGGCUUAGAAGCAGCCACUCAUUCAAAGAGUGCGUAAUAGCUCACUGGUCGAGUGAUCCUGCGCCGAAGAUUUCCGGGGCUAAAACUUACUACCGAAGCUACGGCAUCAGUAAUGAUGGGUAGGGGAGCUUCCCAUACGGGUUGAAGCAUGACCGUAAGGACAUGUGGACAGUAUGGGAGUGAGAAUGUUGGCAUGAGUAGCGAGAUGUGGGUGAGAAUCCCACAGGCCGUAAACCCAAGGUUUCCAGGGGAAGGUUCGUCCGCCCUGGGUUAGUCGGGACCUAAGCUGAGGCCGAAAGGCGUAGGUGAUGGACAACAGGUUGAUAUUCCUGUACUACCGAUAACCGUUUGAGAGAAGGGAUGACACAGUAGGAUAAGCUAAGCACACUGUUGGUUAUGUGUGCCCAAGCAUUGAGGCAGUCAAAGUAGGCAAAUCCGCUUUGAUAAUGCUGGGAUGUGAUGGGGAGCGAAAUUUAGUAGCGAAGUAGCUGAUUUCACACUGUCAAGAAAAGUCUCUAUCGAGGUUAAAGGUACCCGUACCGCAAACCGACACAGGUGGGUGAGGAGAGUAUCCUAAGGCCAGCGAGAGAACUGUUGUUAAGGAACUCGGCAAAAUGACCCCGUAACUUAGGGAUAAGGGGUGCCACCAUCAGGUGGCCGCAGAGAAUAGGCCCAAGCGACUGUUUACCAAAAACAUAGGUUUCUGCUAAGUCGCAAGACGAUGUAUAGGAGCUGACGCCUGCCCGGUGCUGGAAGGUUAAGGGGAUCUGUUAGAGCAAUCGAAGCAGUGAACUUAAGCCCCAGUAAACGGCGGCCGUAACUAUAACGGUCCUAAGGUAGCGAAAUUCCUUGUCGGGUAAGUUCCGACCCGCACGAAAGGCGUAACGAUUUGGGCACUGUCUCAACAACAGACUCGGUGAAAUUGUAAUUCCGGUGAAGAUGCCGGAUACCUGCGACAGGACGGAAAGACCCCAUGGAGCUUUACUGUAGCUUGACAUUGGGUCUUGGUACUACAUGUACAGGAUAGGUGGGAGGCUUUGAAACCAGGACGCCAGUUUUGGCGGAGCCAUCCUUGGGAUACCACCCUUGUAGUACUGGGACUCUAACCAUAGGCCAUGAAUCUGGUCUUGGGACACUGUCAGGUGGGCAGUUUGACUGGGGCGGUCGCCUCCCAAAAGGUAACGGAGGCGCUCAAAGGUUCUCUCAGUACGGUCGGAAAUCGUACGUAGAGUGUAAAGGCAAAAGAGAGCUUGAUUGCAAGACAUACAGGUCGAGCAAGGAUGAAAAUCGGACUUAGUGAUCCGGUGGUUCUGCGUGGAAGGGCCAUCGCUCAACGGAUAAAAGCUACCCUGGGGAUAACAGGCUUAUCUCCCCCAAGAGUCCACAUCGACGGGGAGGUUUGGCACCUCGAUGUCGGCUCAUCACAUCCUGGGGCUGUAGUAGGUCCCAAGGGUUGGGCUGUUCGCCCAUUAAAGUGGUACGCGAGCUGGGUUCAGAACGUCGUGAGACAGUUCGGUCCCUAUCCGUCGCAGGCGUAGGAAAUUUGAGAAGACCUGUCCUUAGUACGAGAGGACCGGGAUGGACGUACCUCUGGUGUACCAGUUGUCCUGCCAAGGGCAUGGCUGGGUAGCUAUGUACGGAAUGGAUAAGCGCUGAAAGCAUCUAAGCGCGAAGCCAACUUCAAGAUAAGAUUUCCCACCGCAAGGGUAAGACCCCAGAAAGACUAUCUGGUUGA
RNAcentral lists this ribosomal RNA (2817 nucleotides) under Clostridioides difficile. RNAcentral describes it as "bacterial LSU rRNA". It matches the Rfam family "Bacterial large subunit ribosomal RNA". The record is from RNAcentral. Lineage: Bacteria; Bacillati; Bacillota; Clostridia; Peptostreptococcales; Peptostreptococcaceae.